Molecule: long non-coding RNA, 267 nt
Filed under: Elaeis guineensis (African oil palm)
Lineage: Eukaryota; Viridiplantae; Streptophyta; Magnoliopsida; Arecales; Arecaceae
Description: long non-coding RNA (EGUI_LNC008745)
Source: RNAcentral
GCUGGAAUCAUCAUCAUCAUCAUUAUUUAUUGUCAAUAUAGAGAUGUUUAAUUGACUGAAUGACAGUACCAUACCAUUUCAUUUGUUCUCCCUCUCAAUUUUCUUCUAUUUUCUCUUCAAAUUCUAAGAUCCAUCGUUACAGUUCAAACAGGAUCCAGAAUAGAUCAGUUGUUAUACGGGGUCCUUGAAUAUUGGUAAGGUGAGUGCAUUACUUGUGUAGUUGUGUUUGGCUCUUAAGCUCCAUGGAGUCCCUCCUUUGGCUAUCUU